AAAUAGAUACCCCCGGUAGUCCACGCCGUAAACGAUGGAUGCUAGCUGUUAGGAGUAUCGACCCUCCUAGUAGCGUAGCUAACGCGUUAAGCAUCCCGCCUGUGGAGUACGGUCGCAAGACUAAAACAUAAAGGAAUUGACGGGGACCCGCACAAGCGGUGGAGCGUGUUGUUUAAUUCGAUGGUAAGCGAAGAACCUUACCCAGGCUUGACAUCCUGCUAAUCACUCCGAAAGGAGAGAGUGCCUUCGGGCCGCAGUGACAGGUGUUGCAUGGCCGUCGUCAGCUCGUGUCGUGAGAUGUUUGGUUAAGUCCAUCAACGAGCGCAACCCUUAUAGUUAGUUGUAUUUCUCUAGCUAGACUGCCCUGGCAACAGGGAGGAAGGAGGGGAUGAUGUCAGGUCAGUAUUACCCUUACGCCUGGGGCUACAAACACGCUACAAUGGCCGGUACAAAGGGCAGCCAACCCGCGAGGGGGAGCAAAUCCCAUCAAAACCGGUCUCAGUUCGGAUAGCAGGCUGAAACUCGCCUGCUUGAAG
This 536-nucleotide ribosomal RNA is filed under the name uncultured bacterium. RNAcentral's name for it is "bacterial SSU rRNA". It matches the Rfam family "Bacterial small subunit ribosomal RNA", at positions 776 to 1325 of the family's 1533-position model. The record is from RNAcentral.